GCCCUCAGUUGGGAUAGCGUUAGACUGAAGAUCUAAAGGUCUCUGGUUCGAAUCCGUGUUUCGCCA
Cordylochernes scorpioides is the source of this 66-nucleotide non-coding RNA. The record is from the annotation of a GenBank genome assembly. Lineage: Eukaryota; Metazoa; Arthropoda; Arachnida; Pseudoscorpiones; Chernetidae.